CGGCCGGCGUGGCACAUCACGGAGGCACUAGAGCUGCUCCCCCCAAGCCCCGGGGACCCCUCCCCCAUAGGCAUCCGGGGGGGUUCCGUGCUGCGCGCAGCCCCUCUGCCGCUGAAUGCCCUUUUAUUGCCUCUCUCUCUGCCAGGGACAUUUCCUCUGCGCCCUGCCCGGCCCCGCUCCCGCUGCACGCUUUAUUGUGCCUCAUCUCUGCCUCCCGCUUCCUGUUUGUUCCCUCGCACCACACAGCAUUGAGUGCCGCACUGCAGUAGAGCCGUAAAUACCUUUAACAGCUGCCUGCCAACCCGGGGGUGAAAUACUGUCUUUGUUCCGAUUUUUUUUCUCCCCCCAUCGCCCAUAAAACUCCCCGUGAGAAAUAUAUUUGUUUGGGAAAAGCGAAAUAUUAUCAGGAGACGAGCCAAUCGGCGGGAUGAGCGGAGUUGAGGAGCACAAACCCAACGCUGCGUAUCAUCUGAAAACACCUCAAGGACGAGAUUUUCCGAAACUGUGGCCGAGAUUUAUUACGAAGCAGCUAUAAUUACCGUGCCGGCCAGGAGGGGCUCCGAGAGCAAAACCUAACGCGACACAACACACUUUCCAAGUUUCCCGGAGCGUUUCAACACUGCAAACGGUUCCUCCCAAACAGUCCCGGCGCGGGCACGGCGCGGCUCCUCGGGCUGCGGGCGUCGGGUGGCCGACAGAAGGAUCCCUCCGUGCCUCCCGAACACGUCCAGGGAUGCGUCCCGCACCCGCACACCCUCCCCGGGCCCGGUUUAAUUGCGGCGUUUUGCUCCGCCGUUAAACGUGUGGCUGCUUUCGGGGGAAAUGACGACGUGGUGAAUUCCUGCAGUGCAGCGGCACGGUGCAUUUCCGUCCCUGAGCGACGCCGGGAGCACCCAACGCGGCACUGCAGCUUCCGAUUGCGCGUUUUGAAAGUGCGGAGGAGAUAUACGGUAUAGAUACACACAUUCUGAAAGAAUAUAUUUACAAGUACGUUCUGUAGAGAGAAACACGGGGACGGACAAGCACAUAUACACACGUAGGCAAUGUAGAUCCGGGUAUACACACCCGUAUAUAAGCAAUGCGGUAUAGGAUCUAUGCGCAUAUGCAGGCAAUGUGGAUAACGUCUACGUGAUCGUUCUAUCUCCUCUGCACAUUUCAAACCAAACCUGUUUUAUCGAGUGCUCGCCCACGGUUUAGCCAGCCGGGCUAUCUGCCCGCUGCUCCGCUCCUCCUCUCCGCGCUGCCCCGCCGGGAGCAGCCGGGCCCGGAGCCUCUCGCUGUGCCCCGCGGGGCGGGCGCGCCCGCGG
Molecule: long non-coding RNA, 1307 nt
Organism: Gallus gallus (chicken)
Lineage: Eukaryota; Metazoa; Chordata; Aves; Galliformes; Phasianidae
Source: Ensembl